This is a long non-coding RNA of Gossypium arboreum, 181 nucleotides long. RefSeq lists it as uncharacterized. Lineage: Eukaryota; Viridiplantae; Streptophyta; Magnoliopsida; Malvales; Malvaceae. The transcript is spliced from 2 exons. The record is from RefSeq and is a predicted model, not a curated record.
AAUUGGUCAAUCACAUGAUCCACAGCUUUGUUGUUGAUAGCUUAACAUGAUCUCAGCCCUGAAUCAUAUCACAGAGGGGUUGUAGUUGCAGCAGUCAUCCAAAGAGAAAGCAACAGCAUAAAGCUUCCAUGGCUGCAAAUGACAAACAAGAUCACCUUCUUCAACAAUAUAAUAUAAGUUA